UACGUAGGGCGCAAGCGUUGUCCGGAUUUAUUGGGCGUAAAGAGCGUGUAGGCGGCCAAGCAGGUCCGCUGUGAAAACUCGAGGCUCAACCUCGAGACGUCGGUGGAAACCGUUUGGCUAGAGUCCGGAAGAGGAGAGUGGAAUUCCCGGUGUAGCGGUGAAAUGCGCAGAUAUCAGGAGGAACACCGGUGGCGAAGGCGGGUCUCUGGGCAGUAACUGACGCUGAGGAGCGAAAGCGUGGGGAGCGAACAGG
Molecule: ribosomal RNA, 253 nt
Filed under: uncultured bacterium
Lineage: Bacteria
Description: partial 16S ribosomal RNA
Rfam family: Bacterial small subunit ribosomal RNA
Source: RNAcentral